GACGAACGCUGGCGGCGCGCCUAACACAUGCAAGUCGAACGGAGUCACGAGGAGCUUGCUUUUCUUGACUUAGUGGCGAACGGGUGAGUAACGCGUGAGUAACCUGCCCUGGAGUGGGGGACAACAGUUGGAAACGACUGCUAAUACCGCAUAAGCCCACGGAUCUGCAUGGCUCUGCGGGAAAAGGAUUUAUUCGCUCUAGGAUGGACUCGCGUCCAAUUGGCUAGUUGGUGGGGUAACGCCCCACCAAGGCGACGAUUGGUAGCCGGACUGAGAGGUAGGGCCGCCACAUUGGGACGGGGACACGGCCGAGACUACUACGGGAGGCAGCAGAGGGGGAUAUUGCAAAAUGGGGGAAAUGCUGAUGGAGCGACGCCGGGUGGAGGAAGAAGGUGUUAGAAUUGUAAACUCCGGUCGUAAGGGACGAUAAUGACGGUACCUAACAAGAAAGCACCGGCUAACUACGUG
This 468-nucleotide ribosomal RNA is filed under the name uncultured bacterium. Its description in RNAcentral is "partial 16S ribosomal RNA". It matches the Rfam family "Bacterial small subunit ribosomal RNA", at positions 28 to 507 of the family's 1533-position model. The record is from RNAcentral.